GAGCAUAGUGCGGGGCCAACCCGGGGCAACUCAUGAGAUUUCUAUCAGGCCGCUGUACGUGUCGCUCAUCCGCCGUGUCCUGAGAAUGAGAUACACGGCUCCUAUCGGGAUCGACACACCGGGCGGCCUUGUUGGACUUGUUUUUACCUUUCUCGAGCGUCUUGUGCGAAGGAUUCCGGGGAUAUUUUAGACUAUCUCGAGGUUGAGGAUUUUUAAAUAAGAACC
This 225-nucleotide long non-coding RNA is filed under the name Hordeum vulgare. RNAcentral's name for it is "long non-coding RNA (HVUL_LNC019758)". The record is from RNAcentral. Lineage: Eukaryota; Viridiplantae; Streptophyta; Magnoliopsida; Poales; Poaceae.